UAACGAAAUACAAAACAAAACUAAAAAAGAAAUGCACAGAGAACAAGCUCGUGUUGAAACUGUGGCACUGAUUCACACCGCGUCAUGAAGAAUGCAGUUUGAUUCAUCACAUCUUCAAGGAGUUUGAAAGUUGAGGUUCUUGCGAUGAGAAUUCGACGAACACAGCUCUUGAAUACCAAGGUUUCUCGUUGCCUGUCAUGAAGUACAUAGAAAUUCAUCCACGUGGAGUUUUGAAUCAUGUUCUUCGGAAGGAAAGUCGCGAACCGAUGGAAUUGGAGGCAACCUUGGUGAACAUGAUCAUGGUGUGAAGCGGAGACGAAAGUCAAAUGGCUUAUUUCUGUUCAUGGCAGAUGGUGGACGUGAAGAGACUGGACGCGACAUAACGUAUUCUUAACAAGGUUUCUUAAUGGCGGAAAGCUGAACUUCAAAGCA
Pocillopora verrucosa is the source of this 432-nucleotide non-coding RNA. Lineage: Eukaryota; Metazoa; Cnidaria; Anthozoa; Scleractinia; Pocilloporidae. The record is from RefSeq and is a predicted model, not a curated record.